Molecule: long non-coding RNA, 516 nt
Organism: Sarcophilus harrisii (Tasmanian devil)
Lineage: Eukaryota; Metazoa; Chordata; Mammalia; Dasyuromorphia; Dasyuridae
Exons: 3
Source: RefSeq, a predicted model, not a curated record
CACAAUGUUAAAGGCCUCUGUAUCUGUGAUCUCUGGAGACUCUCAAAUUUCAUUAAAACCUGUCCAUAAUGAUUACACAAAAGAUCCCUGUGAAGUUCAUAAACAAGCAGAGUAAGGGGAUGCAUUAAAACUUUGAUUGAAGUUGCAACCAAAUCUUUUUGAGUAACCAGCUUCCUACCCUGAAGACAGGUGAAAAAUCCUCUAUUUCAGCAUUUUUCUUCUAGGGAAAAAAAGUCAAGUUGGAAAGCCUUAAGGAGAAAUGAAAGCUGGACUAACACAAAGAAGCACCUUGAUGAAACCUCAAAUAUCUCAGGAUCUUCACUUGUAAGCUGAAAAGAGAAAAAGGACAGCCAAGUUUAACUUUCAGGGAGGAUCCUGACCUUCAGAUUCCUUAAGAAAUGCACUUUUCAAUUGAUUGGGGUAGGGUGGAAAGCAGAGAGAAAGCAAUGUGAAAAUGGGGAAAAAGCCAAGAAGAAUUAGAGGAAAGCAUUUUUUAAUAUUUUAAAAUACAUGAGA